CAGAUCACACCGAGUCAGCAGCCUUCCCUAGACCCGCCGCUUCCUCGCUCCGCGCUGGCCGCCCCCUCCCACCCUUGCAGCCCCUCUCUGUCUCCGCCUGCCCUGACUGCGCCCUCCCACGCAGACACGGGACUCAAUCCGCGCCUCGGCCGUCGGGCUCCUUGGGACUCUGGUGCGCCGGGGCCGGGGCGGGCUCCGGCUGGGGCUCCGCGGCCCCCUGCGGAAGCUGGUGCUGCAGAGUCUCGUGCCGCUGCUGCUGCGCCUGCAUGACCCCAGCAGGGACGCUGCUGAGGUUCAGCGAUACCCAGGCCACGUGCCCAACUUCCUGAGCCAGACCCAGGGCUACCUGCGGAGUCCACAGGACCCCCUGCGCCGGGCAGCCGCCGUGCUUAUAGGUGAGGCCGCCCGGGGUCACACUGCCCCUGGCACCGGGGCUUUGGGAGCUGGGCCAGCCUCCCCCUGGGGGGCUGUGGGGCCUGCACUCAUGCAUCUGCUGUGGUCCAGGCUUCCUUGUCCACCACGCCAGCCCCGGCUGUGUCAACCAGGACCUGCUGGACUCCCUGUUCCAGGACCUAGGGCGACUGCAGAGCGACCCCAAGCCGGCUGUGGCCGCGGCAGCGCACGUGUCCGCUCAGCAGGUGGCGAUGCUGGCCCGUGCCCGGGGCUG
This 667-nucleotide long non-coding RNA is filed under the name Homo sapiens (human). Its description in RNAcentral is "non-protein coding lnc-NAPRT-2:1". Lineage: Eukaryota; Metazoa; Chordata; Mammalia; Primates; Hominidae. The record is from RNAcentral.